This 425-nucleotide ribosomal RNA is filed under the name uncultured rumen bacterium. Its description in RNAcentral is "bacterial SSU rRNA". It matches the Rfam family "Bacterial small subunit ribosomal RNA", at positions 354 to 776 of the family's 1533-position model. The record is from RNAcentral.
GUGAGGAAUAUUGGUCAAUGGGCGAGAGCCUGAACCAGCCAAGUAGCGUGAAGGAAGACUGCCCUACGGGUUGUAAACUUCUUUUGUACGGGAAUAAAGUGAGGCUCGUGAGCCUUUUUGCAUGUACCGUACGAAUAAGGACCGGCUAAUUCCGUGCCAGCAGCCGCGGUAAUACGGAAGGUCCGAGCGUUAUCCGGAUUUAUUGGGUUUAAAGGGAGCGCAGGCGGAAUGUUAAGUCAGCUGUGAAAUCCCGUCGCUCAACGGCGGAACUGCAGUUGAUACUGGCUUUCUUGAGUGCACAUAAGGAUGGUGGAAUUCGUGGUGUAGCGGUGAAAUGCUUAGAUAUCACGAAGAACUCCGAUUGCGAAGGCAGCCAUCUGGGGUGCAACUGACGCUGAGGCUCGAAAGUGCGGGUAUCAAACAGG